AUUUGCGGCCCAUAACCUAGAUCUGUAUCAAAAGGCCCAAAGAAAAUCUCCACAUAUAUCUAAUAUCCUCGCCUUUUGAAAUAGAUCUUGGCGUUAUGGGUUGCAAACCUG
Molecule: non-coding RNA, 111 nt
Organism: Brachypodium distachyon (stiff brome)
Lineage: Eukaryota; Viridiplantae; Streptophyta; Magnoliopsida; Poales; Poaceae
Source: RefSeq, marked provisional